Phrynosoma platyrhinos (Desert horned lizard) is the source of this 72-nucleotide non-coding RNA. NCBI's taxonomy places the organism in Eukaryota, Metazoa, Chordata, Lepidosauria, Squamata, Phrynosomatidae. The record is from the annotation of a GenBank genome assembly.
GCCAGCAUGGUGUAGUGGUUUGAAUGUUAGACUAUGGCUCUGGAGAUCAGGGUUCGAAUCCUUGCUUAAGCA